This 495-nucleotide ribosomal RNA is filed under the name uncultured bacterium. RNAcentral describes it as "partial 16S ribosomal RNA". It matches the Rfam family "Bacterial small subunit ribosomal RNA", at positions 28 to 507 of the family's 1533-position model. The record is from RNAcentral.
GACGAACGCUGGCGGCGUGCCUAAUACAUGCAAGUAGAACGCUGAAGGAGGAGCUUGCUUCUCCGGAUGAGUUGCGAACGGGUGAGUAACGCGUAGGUAACCUGCCUGGUAGCGGGGGAUAACUAUUGGAAACGAUAGCUAAUACCGCAUAACAGUAGAUAUUGCAUGAUAUCUGCUUGAAAGGUGCAAUUGCAUCACUACCAGAUGGACCUGCGUUGUAUUAGCUAGUUGGUGAGGUAACGGCUCACCAAGGCGACGAUACAUAGCCGACCUGAGAGGGUGAUCGGCCACACUGGGACUGAGACACGGCCCAGACUCCUACGGGAGGCAGCAGUAGGGAAUCUUCGGCAAGGGACGGAAGUCUGACCGAGCAACGCCGCGUGAGUGAAGAAGGUUUUCGGAUCGUAAAGCUCUGUUGUAAGAGAAGAACGAGUGUGAGAGUGGAAAGUUCACACUGUGACGGUAUCUUACCAGAAAGGGACGGCUAACUACGUG